RNAcentral lists this transfer RNA (73 nucleotides) under Chloroflexota bacterium. RNAcentral describes it as "Chloroflexi bacterium tRNA-Lys". It matches the Rfam family "tRNA". Rfam says of the family: Transfer RNA (tRNA) molecules are approximately 80 nucleotides in length. Their secondary structure includes four short double-helical elements and three loops (D, anti-codon, and T loops). Further hydrogen bonds mediate the characteristic L-shaped molecular structure. tRNAs have two regions of fundamental functional importance: the anti-codon, which is responsible for specific mRNA codon recognition, and the 3' end, to which the tRNAs corresponding amino acid is attached (by aminoacyl-tRNA synthetases). tRNAs cope with the degeneracy of the genetic code in two manners: having more than one tRNA (with a specific anti-codon) for a particular amino acid; and 'wobble' base-pairing, i.e. permitting non-standard base-pairing at the 3rd anti-codon position. The record is from RNAcentral. Lineage: Bacteria; Bacillati; Chloroflexota.
GGGCCGUUAACUCAACUGGCAGAGUACCGGCCUUUUAAGCCGGGAGUUGGGGGUUCGACUCCCUCACGGCCCA